Molecule: ribosomal RNA, 119 nt
Filed under: Pteropus alecto (black flying fox)
Lineage: Eukaryota; Metazoa; Chordata; Mammalia; Chiroptera; Pteropodidae
Source: RNAcentral
GUCUAUGGCUAUGUUACCCUGAAGGUGCUGGAUCUCAUCUGAUCUCGGGAUCUAAGCAGGGUCGGGCCUGGUUAGUACUCGGAUGGGAGACCACCUAGGAAGACCAGGUGCUAUAGGCG